Long non-coding RNA from Erpetoichthys calabaricus (reedfish), 6816 nucleotides. RefSeq lists it as uncharacterized. NCBI's taxonomy places the organism in Eukaryota, Metazoa, Chordata, Cladistia, Polypteriformes, Polypteridae. The record is from RefSeq and is a predicted model, not a curated record. The transcript has 2 exons.
UAUCUAUCUAUCUAUCUAUCUGUCAUAUAGACCCUUUCAUAUCCAUCUAUCAUAUAGACUCUUUCAUAUCUAUCUAUCUAUUAUAUAGACCUUUCAUAUCUAUCUAUCUAUUAUAUAGACCCUUUCAUAUCUAUCUGUCUAUCUAUCUGGUUAGCAAGUGUAACAGGAAAAUGUCUAUAAGAGGUUGCAAGAUCGCAACAGGAAGAUCUUUAUUUGGAAGCUUGUUAGAGGUGUUAAAGUAAAGUAAAAUGACUUCCUAUCAAACUAUAUUAGUAAUAGCCAGAGGGAUCUGGCUAUGUAUGGGGAGUUUAAAGUGUAAUAGACAUUUUCAAGCAUAAUAUUUGUUCACAUAUAAAGUAUAUCUAUUGAUUCAUCCUUGAAAUAUAAUGUACUUUUAAAUAGUGCGGUAGGCAUUCAAGAUUAUCUGGGCUGCAGUUAAAAUUAAAGAAGAAAGGCAUGAAAUUGAAAGGUUGUACACAAACAACCCCCCAAGACAGUUUGGAGAAUGGUAGUCAGUUAGUUUCCUCCAUUAAUAGUGCCUAGAAGUUAAUAGUGGCCAUUUUGAACAUCUGCAUUUGUUCAGCACAUGUAUGAAACCGCUGCUCCUACACUCAGAAUCAUAUAUUUGAAGUUUAACUUUCUUCGCAGGAAGUAUUGAUUUCAUAAAUUCAAUUGAAAAACAUGUUUGGAGUGUUUUUGGAAAGUUGUUUGUCUGUGGUAAAAAUUCUGUGGAUGCUGUCGCUCAAGAACGAAUGGAUUGAUUCUUUUGAAAUUCUGUGGACAGCAUGCACUCGUUAGCCUUGAGAGUUGAUUAGGUUUUGGGUAAAUUCCAACUCUUCAACUCUGAGCUUUUUAAAGUUCGGGGUUUUUACCAACAAUAGCCAAACCACUGCUCAGAAGUUCACAAAUUUUGGCAUACGCCUUUCGGACUUUUUAAGAAAGACUUUUGUGAAAUUUGAAUUCAAUCCAAAAUUCGAGCUUUUAAUGUUCAAAAUUACUAAAUGCAGUAGCCACAGCAGCUAAGCUCUAAUUACAAAGAAACAUUUGAUUAUUUUUUUAUGCCUUUAUUAAAUUACUAGGAUGAGAAUUUAUUUGUGGCGAGUACUGAAAUUUGUUAUUAAAAAAGGUUUUCCUAAUUUGAACUUUGAAAGUAGCACCUUCAGUUUACGAGUCUAGGUGCUAGUUCCAAAACCACCCCGGGUAUGUGACAGGUUUGUGUUUGUACUCUUUUUCCUGUCAUUUUUUUAAAUCUGAAAUUAACCAAAGCAUUAAGAAAUUCAUACACAAUUCCUGUAGUUACAGGUGAACUGAUCCUUUAAGUUAAAUUAAUCAUAUUAGAACAUAAGAACAACACAUUUGACAAACGAGAUGAGACCCUCAGUCCAUCAGGCUCGUUUGUUUAGCUGAUAGCUAAGCUGAACCAAAAAUUUGUUACAUAAAAAUAUCUUAUUUUUUUCUUUUAAAUACAUUUGCCUUUAAAGAUGACUAAAACAUGAAAAGUGGUAUUGCCUCUUGCAUAUAUUUUGGUAAAUUCACGCUGUAAAUUGUACUCGUGUUGUAAAUAUAGAAAAAAUAAUGUGCUGGCCACAUUAGACUUUUAUUAUUAAUUGAAUUCAUAUUUGUGAUCCAUCUGUCUACCCAUCCAAUAAUGUCUGCUGAUAAGGCUAUCCCUUCCCAGCUUCUGAAAUUUGCAUUGCAGGAGGUUAUCAUAACAAGAGAAAAAACUCAAAUGCUUUCAUGAUCUCUUGCAUAGAUGAGCACUUGUAGCUCCAUUUGCACUUUAUUGUAAAUAUUUUAAGUGCCUGAUGGGAAAACUCUUUAACAUAAAGUGCACCAUUAUUCCUGAAUUUUAUUCUACAAUUCAUUUUGUAGACAUAGUGGAGCAUGCCCAUCCACUGGCAUGGCUCACAACUCUGUAUCCUGGCAUAAAAUCCUAGCCUGGUCACUAACUCUCUCUGCGAUGUUUGCACCUUCUUCCCGCUUCUGCAUGGGCUUUUCGUGGGUUUUAUGGUUUUCCUCUCAAAUCUAAGAGAUGCACUUAUUAGAUUAGCUGGUGCCUGUAAAUUGGCGCAGUGAGAGUGUGCGAAUGAAUGUGUCCUGCUUCAGACUAGUGCCAGUCCAGGGUUAGAUCGUCCUUUGAAUUGAAUGUUUUCAGAAUAGGCUCCUUUCUAAAAGUGAGUUUAGCAUAAGUAAAAGUGAAUGGAUACUCCUCAGUUACCGAUUGCAUGAACAUUGUGCGAGGUGCUGUGGACACGUAUUGCAAGUAAUUUUGUAAUGUAGGAGGCAUUUACAUUGUUCCCUUUAAGUUAAAAAGAUACUCGCAUCAUAAGCCAAAAAUGAAGACAGAAAGCACUCCACGUCACGUGUUUUCUAGUUAUUGUACCAGAAUGACAUCCCAUUUAGGGGCAAGUCUGCUGUCGCUGUCACACUCCUCCAUGACUUCAGCUGGUAUAAAGUAGGUCUAGAAAGUAGAUGGUUUACAGCAGGGUGCCAUCCUGCUUCUGUGUUCCCUGUCUGUUGAAUCUCUCAGUCUGUUCAUCUUUCCCUCUCUCUCUCUCUCUUUCUCUUUCUCCCAGCAUCCCUGCUUUUCUGCCCUCUGUCUAUCCAAUCACUUGCAGGUGGAGCCUAAUUAGUAAAUGUGCCAGGGCAGCAAUAAUAGGGAAAAAAAAGUCUGCUAGGUUUCCAGAUGAAGGGGAGCCAAGUGUUAAGCAUUUCAGAGUUUGCCAGCCAUCCAGCAGAUUAAGAAUCUGACAUGCAUCUCUGUGCUGAUACUAAAGAUAAAAGGCAAACACAGGAACACUUGUGCGAACAUGGAGACUGUUAGGCAGAGAAGAUGUUUUAUCUUCGUUUUUGGUUUCUGUCUCCUUUUUCAUUUACUGCAUUAAUGUUCUGCAUAUGUAGUUUGACACGAAUGUAUUUUUUAAACACGUUAAUGAUAGCACAAUUUUUCAUCACUGAUGAAUUUCAGAUGAUUUGACUAUUCUAAUUUUAUUAUUCUUGGUUUGUUUUUGAUUGCUUCCAAGCGUUCCCAAAGUUGAAACAGUGACAUUUGCUUCUUUCGCAAGUUCCAGUCAAACAGAAUCAGAUGCCCUCCAUCCCUCCUGAAACAAAAGCCUUGACUGUUACUCCCUGACGCCAGAAGCGUGAGUCAUUAUGCUAAUAAGCAGCUCUGUGCUGAAAGCCGCUCUGUAUUGGCUCACGAUUAACCCCCUAAACACCCAGAUUCUAUUUUUUUAAUCAAGACACGAUCAUGCACUUUUUUUAGAAUGUUGUUUAGCGAUUUCUUAAGGCAGAAGAGGAUAAUUAAAAAACAAAAAAAAUCCCCAUGCAAAGACAUAGAGGACCAAAGGGCAUCCAUCACCCAAUGCAACGUCAACCUGUUAGAUGACUCUUUGAGAAACAAAAGGAAAGACAUAACAAAGACGUAAAUAACAUGCAAACUUUCCUGGCAAAGCAUUCCAAACAGCUUGCAAAUUUAAGGUCUGGAAGGCGAGUGGGAUUUGUUCUUGGGCUGUGAGGAUGGAAAAAAUGGAGAGACUGAGGGCUUCUUCUAAGCAUGGACCUCUCUUGAAAUUGUUAGAAGAGUAGGAUGAAAGACUGUUAGUGGAACUGAGGCAAGCGGCCAUAGUAGGCAUGAAGCACUGGUGGCGUUGAGGACCAUCUAAUAGGGGGUUGGUGGCGGGUGUGAAAAUCUCCCAAAUUUGUUGACACUCACGGGCUCAGUGACUGAACUGCAGAUAAUCUCUUAACCGUUUGUUUUAGAAGAAGUAAAAUUAUUCUGGUCUGCUUAUUGCUAAGCACGCCAGGAGAAAGACUGCCUGGAGGAGCAGCUGAAGCCUGCCAUUAAUCUCUUGAGUGGCAAUGCAAAGCGAUCCCAAGGGGGAUUAAGCAAAGCAGGAAAGUAGUGAAAUGCUUCCAAAUGGGGAAAAAUAUCGUAAAUGCAUCAGGCAUGUGGGAGACAAAAAGGAAUACCAAUUUCCUGUCACCCAUUCAAGUGAAAAAUAAACACAUUAUCUUUUAGGAGCGUGCCUUGCUGGGCAAUGAGCAAGCUCUUUAUUAGGAGAGUGCUCUAAAAAAAUUAUUUCCCCACUAUUUGUUUGGAUCACUUCUCACAAGAUAGAUGAUGGAAAUCUGCAGAUUUUAGACACACGUCAUUUGGCUCCAGGCAGCAGAGCCUUUCCAAACGAAUGACGGCGAGCACGGCAACAUGCGGCCAUGUGGGGGAGGCUGCAUUCUCUGCCUAAAACCCACACUUCACCCCUUCUUUGAGCAGAAAAUGAUACGGCAUCCUGAUGUGGGCACCGCACAUAUCCAAGAGACAGUCCUUGCCAAGUCAGUAAUGGGGUGGGGGGUGGAGGGGACAAGUUUCUGCGGCGCAACAAAAGCUGCUGAUGUAAUUGCUGCUGGCAGACUGUAAGUAACAAUGUGCUGCAGGAAAGGAAGAUUUGUGCCUUGUUUUUUUGUGUGUAUGUUUGCUGAACCAUUAGACCAGUCUUUAUCUGAUAUAGCACCUAUCAUAACUAACUCACAGUACAAUGGAGAAAACUGUGAAAGCAACUCAAAAAUGAAAGGGGGCUUCAUACCCUGUUAUGAAAAAAAAUAAAAUCGUCUGUGAAGGACGCUAUAUAAAAUAAAGAUUGACAACUGUUCUUUUCCCUGUGUCACCCUUAGCAGGUCACGUCCUCCAACCUAUUCAAUUUGAGGUAAUUAUGACCAGGGCCACACCCUACCCAUACCCUCCUGGAAAUCAGAUGAUUUAGAAAUAAUAAAAUCCCCCCCCAACCCCCCCCCCCCCCCCCCCAGUUGAAAGCUGUAGGCCUUUUUUGAAGUUUCAGGCUGUUUGAGCAAAAUAUGUUAUCAAUACUGUAUAAAAACUGCAACAGCACUUGAUAUUCAACCUUUGUUGUAUUACAAACAUUCUUAAUAUAACAUUUAGUGAGUUACAAUAUGAAUAUACAGAUUUCAGAAAAUUAGUCUUGCAGCAAUCGCCCAAGUAUUUAUUGUCAUUUCAGGCUUUGAAUUGGUUGACAUGAAAAAAAGAACAAGAAAAAUAAUAUAUAUAUAUAUAUAUACACACACAUAUAACAAGAAUACUAUACAUUCAUGUAUACAAUACAUGCAUGUCUUAUGUAUACAUAUACAUACAGUAUGUACACAUAUUCACUCAUAUAUAUAUAUAAUGACUGACUGACAUGUGAGCAAAAGUAUAUGAAUACACACAUUAUAUACAUAUACUUUAUUUAGAGGGGACUAUACACAGCAUACAUGUACGUGUGUCUGUGUAUAUACUGUAUGGAUAUACACGUAAAUAAUAAAGGUUAUUACAGAAAGGCUACAUUAUUGAAAAUAAGUGAAUAACUUGCUUUUUAUUUUUUUAGUGUGCAGUUAACUGUUACCAAUUAUAUAUUAUAUAUAUUCAAAGUACGGUCAAAAAGAACGACUGCUUUGCAUACUAUUGCACUAUGAUGGCAAAUGUUGCUAUACAAAAGGCCCUGUGGCAACAUCAUUUAGGGGGAAGAUUAUCCAUUUCUGUUUAACUCCAGGAAGUCCAGUCUUUGGCCCAGUUUUCCAAAACUGUGCAUGUAGGGCUAUUUGGCGUCUCUAAACUAGCCCAUUUGGUGAAGGUAUUUAUGUUCUCAGCAUUGCUGUUAGAAUAGACUCUGACUCCCGCGAUCUUAAAUUGGAUUAAGCAGGCUUAAAAAUGUAUAGAUGGAAAAUAUGUGACAGUGGAGGACUAAGAAGUAAAAAAUUAGUCAACCUUCACUAACUCUUUUAACAAGUGUGUUGUAAUGAAAUCUUCUCUCUUUAACAAAACUGUUCAGUGUGUCAGGAGAGUAUGAGCUCCACCCAGGGAGACCUGCUAUUAUAAAAAAUGAACAGACGGUCACUCAAGUACGGGAAGACAUCAGACAUGAUUGCAGGUACAGGUUUUAUGAAGUUUUUUGACGAUUCAUGUAUGUGUCUGAGCUCUGUGAUCCCACUGUAUGUUCUUGCAGUCUUCCUCUCUUCUUUGACGUGUAGAUUGUUCUCUAUAUUGAUUAGAAUGUUAGAAAAAUGUUGACAUGAACAGGUCGUUCAGCCUAACAAAGCUGGCCAAUCCAAUCUGUUUAAUUCCUCCAAAUUAAAAUCAGUUGAAGCUUUGAAGAUCCCUAAAGUCCUCCUCUCUAUCACACUACUUGAUAACCUGUGCCAUGUGUCUAUGGUUCUGUGUGACAUACACACCCCGUCAUCGUCAACUAAAUGACUUAUUAGUGACAGAUGUGCUAGAUAUUGGUAAGCAGACUUCUGAACCAGUAUACCACGACCAUUCUUUUUGUCACAUUUCUAUAUUUACAUCAUGGUAUGCAAAUUUCUGUUUAAUUUUGACUUUACUUUGAAUAUUCAUUUUAAACACUCAAAAGCACUUGUUUUUUUUUUUCAACAGUAUAAUAUUGAUUCUUGGAUGCAUUUUUUCAAAUUUAAAGAAAUCAUUGGUUGUGUCUCAUUAUGUAUUGUAAUUUUUUUAUAUGGCGUAGGAUGGCCUCUACUUAUUACCCUGUCUUUGUUUUUAUUAGAUUUUAAAAGCUUUAAACCAUCAACUAAUAGAACCAAGCGUGUUUAGUAUCAAUCAGAAAAGGACGUCUCGUUGGUUACAGAGUGAGACGCAGUACCUUUUCCUGUUAAUGAGUUGGUGGCUGUCACAAAUAAUAAAAAAUAAAUAAAUAAAAAUGGAAAUAGCAGAAGUGUAUAUUUUACCUUUUUAUGCGCACUCUAUCUUUUGUUGAACCAACAUUAUAAGGCUUUGAAAUAAACACAAUAAAAAUACUGUUCUGGGGA